RNAcentral lists this transfer RNA (69 nucleotides) under Didelphis pernigra (Andean white-eared opossum). RNAcentral's name for it is "tRNA-His". It matches the Rfam family "tRNA". From Rfam's summary of the family: Transfer RNA (tRNA) molecules are approximately 80 nucleotides in length. Their secondary structure includes four short double-helical elements and three loops (D, anti-codon, and T loops). The record is from RNAcentral. Lineage: Eukaryota; Metazoa; Chordata; Mammalia; Didelphimorphia; Didelphidae.
GCAAAUAUAGUUUAAUAAAAACAUUAGAUUGUGAAUCUAAAUAUAGAAGUUUAAAGCUUCUUAUAUGCC